CACGGAUAACAUACCGAAAGGUAUGCUAAUACGGGAUAAUAUAUUUGAGAGGCAUCUCUUGAAUAUCAAAGGUGAGCCAGUACAGGAUGGACCCGCGUCUGAUUAGCUAGUUGGUAAGGUAACGGCUUACCAAGGCGACGAUCAGUAGCCGACCUGAGAGGGUGAUCGGCCACAUUGGAACUGAGACACGGUCCAAACUCCUACGGGAGGCAGCAGUGGGGAAUAUUGCACAAUGGGCGAAAGCCUGAUGCAGCAACGCCGCGUGAGUGAUGAAGGCCUUCGGGUCGUAAAACUCUGUCCUCAAGGAAGAUAAUGACGGUACUUGAGGAGGAAGCCCCGGCUAACUACGUGCCAGCAGCCGCGGUAAUACGUAGGGGGCUAGCGUUAUCCGGAUUUACUGGGCGUAAAGGGUGCGUAGGCGGUCUUUCAAGUCAGGAGUGAAAGGCUACGGCUCAACCGUAGUAAGCUCUUGAAACUGGGAGACUUGAGUGCAGGAGAGGAGAGUGGAAUUCCUAGUGUAGCGGUGAAAUGCGUAGAUAUUAGGAGGAACACCAGUUGCGAAGGCGGCUCUCUGGACUGUAACUGACGCUGAGGCACGAAAGCGUGGGGAGCAAACAGGAUUAGAUACCCUGGUAGUCCACGCUGUAAACGAUGAAUACUAGGUGUCGGGGGUUACCCCCUUCGGUGCCGCAGCUAACG
RNAcentral lists this ribosomal RNA (699 nucleotides) under uncultured bacterium. RNAcentral's name for it is "bacterial SSU rRNA". It matches the Rfam family "Bacterial small subunit ribosomal RNA", at positions 138 to 857 of the family's 1533-position model. The record is from RNAcentral.